CCCCCUUAGAGUUUGAUCCUGGCUCAAGAUGAACGCUGGCGGCGUGCUUAACACAUGCAAGUCGAACGGGAAAUAUUUCAUUGAGACUUCGGUGGAUUUGAUCUAUUUCUAGUGGCGGACGGGUGAGUAACGCGUGGGUAACCUGCCUUAUACAGGGGGAUAACAGUCAGAAAUGGCUGCUAAUACCGCAUAAGCGCACAGAGCUGCAUGGCUCAGUGUGAAAAACUCCGGUGGUAUAAGAUGGACCCGCGUUGGAUUAGCUUGUUGGUGGGGUAACGGCCCACCAAGGCGACGAUCCAUAGCCGGCCUGAGAGGGUGAACGGCCACAUUGGGACUGAGACACGGCCCAGACUCCUACGGGAGGCAGCAGUGGGGAAUAUUGCACAAUGGGGGAAACCCUGAUGCAGCGACGCCGCGUGAAGGAAGAAGUAUCUCGGUAUGUAAACUUCUAUCAGCAGGGAAGAUAGUGACGGUACCUGACUAAGAAGCCCCGGCUAACUACGUGCCAGCAGCCGCGGUAAUACGUAGGGGGCAAGCGUUAUCCGGAUUUACUGGGUGUAAAGGGAGCGUAGACGGUGUGGCAAGUCUGAUGUGAAAGGCAUGGGCUCAACCUGUGGACUGCAUUGGAAACUGUCAUACUUGAGUGCCGGAGGGGUAAGCGGAAUUCCUAGUGUAGCGGUGAAAUGCGUAGAUAUUAGGAGGAACACCAGUGGCGAAGGCGGCUUACUGGACGGUAACUGACGUUGAGGCUCGAAAGCGUGGGGAGCAAACAAGAUUAGAUACCCUGGUAGUCCACGCCGUAAACG
This 806-nucleotide ribosomal RNA is filed under the name uncultured bacterium. RNAcentral's name for it is "bacterial SSU rRNA". It matches the Rfam family "Bacterial small subunit ribosomal RNA", at positions 1 to 808 of the family's 1533-position model. The record is from RNAcentral.